This 148-nucleotide non-coding RNA is filed under the name Pan troglodytes (chimpanzee). The record is from Rfam by way of RNAcentral. Lineage: Eukaryota; Metazoa; Chordata; Mammalia; Primates; Hominidae.
GCCGGGCGUGGUGGCGGGCACCUGUAGUCCCAGCUACUUGGGAGGCUGAGGCAGGAGAAUCGCUUGAACCUGGGAGGCGGAGGUUGCAGUGAGCCGAGAUCACGCCACUGCAGUCUAGCCUGGGUGACAGAGCGAGACUCUGUUUCAC